RNAcentral lists this ribosomal RNA (64 nucleotides) under Apiotrichum domesticum. Its description in RNAcentral is "partial 28S ribosomal RNA". It matches the Rfam family "Eukaryotic large subunit ribosomal RNA", at positions 1 to 58 of the family's 3401-position model. Lineage: Eukaryota; Fungi; Basidiomycota; Tremellomycetes; Trichosporonales; Trichosporonaceae. The record is from RNAcentral.
UGACUCUGGCCUCAAAUCAGGUAGGACUACCCGCUGAACUUAAGCAUAUCAAUAAGCGGAGGAA